GAUGAACGCUGGCGGCGUGCCUAAUACAUGCAAGUCGAGCGAACGGACGAGAAGCUUGCUUCUCUGAUGUUAGCGGCGGACGGGUGAGUAACACGUGGAUAACCUACCUAUAAGACUGGGAUAACUUCGGGAAACCGUAGCUAAUACCGGAUAAUAUUUUGAACCGCAUGGUUCAAAAGUGAAAGACGGUCUUGCUGUCACUUAUAGAUGGAUCCGCGCUGCAUUAGCUAGUUGGUAAGGUAACGGCUUACCAAGGCAACGAUGCAUAGCCGACCUGAGAGGGUGAUCGGCCACACUGGAACUGAGACACGGUCCAGACUCCUACGGGAGGCAGCAGUAGGGAAUCUUCCGCAAUGGGCGAAAGCCUGACGGAGCAACGCCGCGUGAGUGAUGAAGGUCUUCGGAUCGUAAAACUCUGUUAUUAGGGAAGAACAUAUGUGUAAGUAACUGUGCACAUCUGGACGGUACCUAAUCAGAAAACCACGGCUAACUACGU
Molecule: ribosomal RNA, 496 nt
Filed under: uncultured bacterium
Lineage: Bacteria
Description: partial 16S ribosomal RNA
Rfam family: Bacterial small subunit ribosomal RNA
Source: RNAcentral